Molecule: ribosomal RNA, 497 nt
Filed under: uncultured bacterium
Lineage: Bacteria
Description: partial 16S ribosomal RNA
Rfam family: Bacterial small subunit ribosomal RNA
Source: RNAcentral
GAUGAACGCUGGCGGCGUGCCUAAUACAUGCAAGUCGAGCGAACGGACGAGAAGCUUGCUUCUCUAAUGUUAGCGGCGGACGGGUGAGUAACACGUGGAUAACCUACCUAUAAGACUGGGAUAACUUCGGGAAACCGGAGCUAAUACCGGAUAAUAUUUUGAACCGCAUGGUUCAAAAGUGAAAGACGGUCUUGCUGUCACUUAUAGAUGGAUCCGCGCUGCAUUAGCUAGUUGGUAAGGUAACGGCUUACCAAGGCAACGAUGCAUAGCCGACCUGAGAGGGUGAUCGGCCACACUGGAACUGAGACACGGUCCAGACUCCUACGGGAGGCAGCAGUAGGGAAUCUUCCGCAAUGGGCGAAAGCCUGACGGAGCAACGCCGCGUGAGUGAUGAAGAUCUUCGGAUCGUAAAACUCUGUUAUUAGGGAAGAACAUAUGUGUAAGUAACUGUGCACAUCUUGACGGUACCUAAUCAGAAAGCCACGGCUAACUACGUG